Molecule: ribosomal RNA, 1339 nt
Filed under: uncultured bacterium
Lineage: Bacteria
Description: partial 16S ribosomal RNA
Rfam family: Bacterial small subunit ribosomal RNA
Source: RNAcentral
GACGAACGCUGGCGGCGUGCUUAACACAUGCAAGUCGAACGGAAAGGCCCUGCUUUUGUGGGGUGCUCGAGUGGCGAACGGGUGAGUAACACGUGAGUAACCUGCCCUUGACUUUGGGAUAACUUCAGGAAACUGGGGCUAAUACCGGAUAGGAGCUCCUGCUGCAUGGUGGGGGUUGGAAAGUUUCGGCGGUUGGGGAUGGACUCGCGGCUUAUCAGCUUGUUGGUGGGGUAGUGGCUUACCAAGGCUUUGACGGGUAGCCGGCCUGAGAGGGUGACCGGCCACAUUGGGACUGAGAUACGGCCCAGACUCCUACGGGAGGCAGCAGUGGGGAAUAUUGCACAAUGGGCGGAAGCCUGAUGCAGCAACGCCGCGUGCGGGAUGACGGCCUUCGGGUUGUAAACCGCUUUCGCCUGUGACGAAGCGUGAGUGACGGUAAUGGGUAAAGAAGCACCGGCUAACUACGUGCCAGCAGCCGCGGUGAUACGUAGGGUGCGAGCGUUGUCCGGAUUUAUUGGGCGUAAAGGGAGCGCAGGUGGUUGAUCGCGUCUGAUGUGAAAGCCCACGGCUUAACCGUGGAGGGUCAUUGGAAACUGGGGAACUUGAGUGCAGAAGAGGAAAGCGGAAUUCCAUGUGUAGCGGUGAAAUGCGUAGAUAUAUGGAGGAACACCAGUGGCGAAAGCGGCUUUCUGGUCUGUAACUGACACUGAGGCUCGAAAGCGUGGGGAGCGAACAGGAUUAGAUACCCUGGUAGUCCACGCCGUAAACGAUGAGUGCUAAGUGUUGGAGGGUUUCCACCCUUCAGUGCUGGCGUUAACGCAAUAAGCACUCCGCCUGGGAGUACGACCGCAAGGUUGAAACUCAAAGGAAUUGACGGGGACCCGCACAAGCGGUGGAGCAUGUGGUUUAAUUCGAAGCAACGCGAAGAACCUUACCAGGUCUUGACAUCUCUUGCAUAUCUUAGAGAUAAGAGAAACCCUUCGGGGCAAGAAGACAGGUGGUGCAUGGUUGUCGUCAGCUCGUGUCGUGAGAUGUUGGGUUAAGUCCCGCAACGAGCGCAACCCUUAUAACUAGUUGCCAGCAUUCAGAUGGGGACUCUAGUUAGACUGCCGGUGACAAACCGGAGGAAGGUGGGGAUGACGUCAAAUCAUCAUGCCCCUUAUGACCUGGGCUACACACGUGCUACAAUGGAUGGUACAACGAGUCGCUAACUCGCAAGAGCAUGCCAAUCUCUAAAAGCCAUUCUCAGUUCGGAUUGUAGUCUGCAACUCGACUACAUGAAGCCGGAAUCGCUAGUAAUCGCGGAUCAGCACGCCGCGGUGAAUACGUUCCCGGGUCU